AUUGAACGCUGGCGGCAUGCCUUACACAUGCAAGUCGAACGGUAACAGGUUAAGCUGACGAGUGGCGAACGGGUGAGUAAUAUAUCGGAACGUGCCCAGUCGUGGGGGGAUAACUGCUCGAAAGAGCAGCUAAUACCGCAUGCGCCCUACGGGGGAAAGUCGGGGACCGCAAGGCCUGACGCGAUUGGAUGAGCCCAUGUUCGAUUAGCUAGUUGGCGGGGUAAAGGCCCACCAAGGCGACGAUCGGUAGGGGGUCUGAGAGGAUGAUCCCCCACACUGGUACUGAGACACGGACCAGACUCCUACGGGAGGCAGCAGUAAGGAAUAUUGGACAAUGGUCGCAAGACUGAUCCAGCCACUGCC
RNAcentral lists this ribosomal RNA (363 nucleotides) under uncultured bacterium. RNAcentral describes it as "bacterial SSU rRNA". It matches the Rfam family "Bacterial small subunit ribosomal RNA", at positions 30 to 398 of the family's 1533-position model. The record is from RNAcentral.